GGUUAAGCGACUAAGCGUACACGGUGGAUGCCCUGGCAGUCAGAGGCGAUGAAGGACGUGCUAAUCUGCGAUAAGCGCCGGUAAGGUGAUAUGAACCGUUAUAACCGGCGAUUUCCGAAUGGGGAAACCCAGUGUGAUUCGUCACACUAUCAUUAACUGAAUCCAUAGGUUAAUGAGGCGAACCGGGGGAACUGAAACAUCUAAGUACCCCGAGGAAAAGAAAUCAACCGAGAUUCCCCCAGUAGCGGCGAGCGAACGGGGAGGAGCCCAGAGCCUGAAUCAGCAUGUGUGUUAGUGGAAGCGUCUGGAAAGGUGCGCGAUACAGGGUGACAGCCCCGUACACAAAAGCGCAUGUGCUGUGAGCUCGAUGAGUAGGGCGGGACACGUGGUAUCCUGUCUGAAUAUGGGGGGACCAUCCUCCAAGGCUAAAUACUCCUGACUGACCGAUAGUGAACCAGUACCGUGAGGGAAAGGCGAAAAGAACCCCGGCGAGGGGAGUGAAAAAGAACCUGAAACCGUGUACGUACAAGCAGUGGGAGCACCCUUCGGGGUGUGACUGCGUACCUUUUGUAUAAUGGGUCAGCGACUUAUAUUCUGUAGCAAGGUUAACCGUAUAGGGGAGCCGGAGGGAAACCGAGUCUUAACCGGGCGUUAAGUUGCAGGGUAUAGACCCGAAACCCGGUGAUCUAGCCAUGGGCAGGUUGAAGGUUGGGUAACACUAACUGGAGGACCGAACCGACUAAUGUUGAAAAAUUAGCGGAUGACCUGUGGCU
RNAcentral lists this ribosomal RNA (773 nucleotides) under Salmonella enterica subsp. enterica serovar 1,4,[5],12:i:-. RNAcentral describes it as "partial 23S ribosomal RNA". It matches the Rfam family "Bacterial large subunit ribosomal RNA", at positions 1 to 816 of the family's 2925-position model. The record is from RNAcentral. Lineage: Bacteria; Pseudomonadati; Pseudomonadota; Gammaproteobacteria; Enterobacterales; Enterobacteriaceae. RNAcentral also lists the same sequence under 1 other name.